Piliocolobus tephrosceles (Ugandan red Colobus) is the source of this 1983-nucleotide long non-coding RNA. Lineage: Eukaryota; Metazoa; Chordata; Mammalia; Primates; Cercopithecidae. The record is from Ensembl.
AUGACUGAGUGUACACAUAAAAACUCACAUUUAACUAAUAUAUAUUACUCAAGUGAUUUAAAUAGCUCAGCAAAUGAAAACAAUGUCUCAUUAUUAUACAACGAUUUAAUUAAAAAUUUAUCUACAUCAGAUAAGCAUGUAGAUAAUGGUGAAAAUAGUAACAAUUGUUUAUUUACUUCAUCUAUAAUAUCAAGAACAAAUCCCUCAGAAACUUUAAAAAGUACAGAAAAGAAAGCACCAAGUGACGUUUUGGAAGCAAAUUUAUUUCACCAUUAUCAAAAACAAGCACAAAUUCUUUGUAAAAAUAAUGUUAUAGAAAGGUGUGCAACAGAAUGUGCUGAAGAUUGUUUACCAGAGUGUGCCGAAGAUUGUUUACCUGAAUGUGCCGAAGAUUGUUUACCAGAAUGUGCCGAAGAUUGUUUACCAGAAUGUGCCGAAGAUUGUUUACCAGAAUGUACGGAAAGAUACGUACCUGAAUGUACAAAAGAUAUUGAACAUUUGAGUAGCCUAACAAAAAACAUCAAGAUAAAGUCUAACAAAUUUGAUAAUAAAACACAGUCAGCUACUAAAACACAAUCAGACACUAAAACACAAUCAGCCACUAAAACACAAUCAGCUACUAAAGACCAAUCUGAAAACGUAAAAAACUCUCUCAUAUGUUACAAUAAUCAGAACAACUCACAAAAUAAUAGUAUAUUGUGUACGAAUAACAACAUUAUUUCAACUAAUGAUAAAAAUACCUUUGUUGAAAAACGUUGCGAUUCUGCUAGUCGUGUUUAUGAUGAUAAAAGUUUCAACAAGUGUCCAUUGAGUUCAUCUGUUACAUUAUGUCAAACAAAAAACACAACAAAUUUAAAUACAAGUUAUAGGAAUUUAGGAAGUAUACAAAUAUUACCUAGUAUGAAUAAUGAUGAAAAUAAAUAUAAUACUUAUCAUUCGAAUGGAAAAACACUUAAUCAAAAUAAAACUAAUACAUUAGAAAUGAAAUAUUAUUCACCAAAUGAACACAAAUCAUUUGGGUCAAAUCGUAAAAACACUACUUUCUUGGAUCACGAAAAUAAUGAUACAUUAUUACUGAAAAAAAAAUAUAAUUCUGAAAACGUAAUACAAUCGUUAAAAAGUACAAAGUCGGAAAAUAAAAAUUUUGAUCUUAGUACCCAUGAUAACAUAUAUAAAAGUGAUAACCAAUAUAACAGAAUUCAUAAAAAAAAAUUAAAAAGCUAUUCAUUAGACGACAUAAAAAAUAAUAAAGUAAAAAUGCCUAGUGUUAUAUUUACUAAAUUGCCAUUAGUUCCACAUGGACUUAAUGCAGUAGAUUCGUAUGUAAAAAAUAAUAAAGUGCUAAGUUUUAUGAAAGAUUGUAAUGAUUCAGUUAAUCUUGUAUUAAAGUACCCAAAAAUUACUAAAAAACAUACAGGAACAAUAAAAGUACCUGUGGAAAUGGCUCCUUCACUUAGAAAUAACAUUGGAAUGCCUAUAAUGUAUGAAGAUAAUUUUGAUAGAAAAAAUUAUCACCCAGCUGUUAAAAAUUUACAUAUGGGAAAUAUAUAUGAAAAACAUGUUUUUAAUAUGUUAAAAAAUAAAAAAGAAUUGGGGAAAGAUGUAUUUAAAAGCAAUAAUAAAUAUGGAAAAAUUAACUAUGAUAAUAAUGAUGGAUUUUGGAUAAGUAACCCUAAUAAAAAUUCUUUAAAAAACGAUACAACAAAAAUUAGUGAUUAUAUUACAGAAUUAGUUUAUGAAAAAGAAAAUUCUUAUAACGAAGAAAUGAAAAUAUUAAUGCAAUUUGAAAAUUUUGAUGCUAUACCACCUUUAUCUGAAGUGUAUAAAGGUAAUGAUUUUUAUAAAUUCUUACAAAAAGAAGCAAUACAACCUGGAGUUUUAAAACCAACCAUAGCAACUAUAAUGCGCCGUUAUGAUAUAGAACAUGUUUCAGAUUACCAAAAGGUUUCUUCUUCUGAGUGCAUAACACCUAUUCCUACUUAA